Small nucleolar RNA from Mus pahari (shrew mouse), 121 nucleotides. RefSeq annotates it as small nucleolar RNA SNORA24. The record is from RefSeq and is a predicted model, not a curated record. The transcript has a single exon. NCBI's taxonomy places the organism in Eukaryota, Metazoa, Chordata, Mammalia, Rodentia, Muridae.
AUUCAUAGCCAAAGUAAUAGUAUUUGUAAAGAAAUGACCUCAUGGAAGGCCUUAUUCUUGCAUAUUGGCAAGGCUGUCACCAUCUAGCUGGUAUUAGACAGUGAUCUGCACAAGAACAGUC